GGUCAUUACCAGCCAUUGUCCCCACGUAUCCGACGGCUGAUAAUGUUUUUGAUUAUCUUCGUGAAUUGAGGCACCAUGAUCGCAUAAAAGCAAGCAAGCUCUUCACAGUUACAUUUUUUUUUUUUUUUUUUUAAUUCGUCAGAUCGCUUCAAAUAUUGUAAAGUUCGUCUGUGAUGGCCAUGGAGGAAAUGCCAUUAUCGGCGCUGUUCGAGCAAGCUAGGAAACUUCAUCUCAAGGCUUCAGACUCUCGCGCCGAUCAGAAUCGCGAGUUUUACGAAGAUGGGCGACGUUUUAGGAUGUAGUGAAGGAAGGGUGUGAGAUGUUACACAAGUGCGAGGACAUGGUCGGGAAGCUGGGGCUGUUCUCGUCUAACGAGACCAAAGAAGACAUCAGCACCAACAAUCUUAAGUAUCUUUUGGUAGGCUAGAAUUCUUUCAAAGAUUAAUAAAUAGCUUUGGCCGCUUCUACUGCUUGUAGCUGCUGAUGUUUACAAAUGUGGAGUCUGAAACUGGGUUUGUAUGUUAUAAUCUCUUGGGAUUAUACCCUUCAUUAUAGAGAGAAUCAUUCAGGAGGAUCGGAUGAAGGUAAGGUUUUUAUUCUGAGUGUUUAAAGUUUGUUGCAAUUUCCCUUUCAUGCUAGUGCUAGAAUGAAGGUAUAGUCUCUUAUAUGUGUAUAGGAGGAGUUCUGUGAGGCAAUGGAGAUUGUUAUACUGUUGUUUUUAGAUAGCUCGGUUCAAACGUCAGAAGGCUGCAGAGUCGAGGCUCCUUGAAAUCAAAGAGAGGAAGGAACGACUUGGACGUUCUACUAAAGCUGCUACCUUGUCAACUCCGGUUGGUUCUGGUGAAGAAGAAGAAGAAGAAGAUAUUACAGAUGAUGACAGCGAAGAAGAGAGAGAUGCUAUUGAUCUGAUGGAUAAUAGAGUCUCUGCAAUCAAGGAACAACAGUUGAAGAAUGGAGAGGAUGAGUUUUCUCGGGAUGCUCUUGAUGAUCGCAUAAAGAAAGCUGAAACCUGGCACAGAGAUGCUGCUGCGAGGGUACUGUACUCUAGACCGGCACAACCAGUCACUUGUGCUUCAGUAUCACAGGGUCAUGAACACAAGCACCAACCUAUUAUAUUCGGUCCAGCCAGUAUAGUGAAUGGAGGUCUCUCUUCAGAGAUAGAGCGGAUGAUAGCUCAGGUUUUCCAACCAAGUCACAGGUAAUACACAAGAUCAUACUCAUCGCAAAUGAUGACGAAGAUGAUAAAGCUGUGAUGAAAGCUAGAGCUUUCGAUGAUUGGAAGGAUGGUAAUCCUCGUGGUGCAGGUAACAAGAAACUCACACCUUGUGGCUGAGAUUAUAGACUUAACACUUUCUCCCUCUUUGUUUCUUUACCAAACUCUCUUCUUUCACUUGUGUACCAUCUUUCUACUCUUAAGACAUAUAAUGUUACAGA
This is an RNA transcript of Brassica oleracea var. oleracea, 1434 nucleotides long. It is a transcript of the gene named PP2A regulatory subunit TAP46-like, with no coding region annotated. The transcript has 4 exons. The record is from RefSeq and is a predicted model, not a curated record. NCBI's taxonomy places the organism in Eukaryota, Viridiplantae, Streptophyta, Magnoliopsida, Brassicales, Brassicaceae.